GUUCUUGUAGUAAAAGUAUGACGGUGGCUUUUCGAGCCAUUAUUCUUGGUUAGAGUCCGGGCAAGAAUU
RNAcentral lists this transfer RNA (69 nucleotides) under Halichoeres hartzfeldii (Hartzfeld's wrasse). RNAcentral describes it as "tRNA-Glu". It matches the Rfam family "tRNA". From Rfam's summary of the family: Transfer RNA (tRNA) molecules are approximately 80 nucleotides in length. Their secondary structure includes four short double-helical elements and three loops (D, anti-codon, and T loops). Lineage: Eukaryota; Metazoa; Chordata; Actinopteri; Labriformes; Labridae. The record is from RNAcentral.